GGAGUUGAGGACAAUCUGGCUGAGACAUCGCUCAUGCCAUUGGUUUCCAGGUUAAUUCAGCUGAUCUGAUUAGCUUGGUGGCCUUCCCUCUCUGCUGCAUGUGUGUCUCUCCACAAGCUUCAUGCUAGGUGACACAGGCUGGCCUUCUCCAAUACUGUCUAACUGCUUUCCCACUGACAGUAGGUGAGCUGCUGUGCAUAUCCUCUAUUCUAGAAUUUACAAACAAGAGUUCGAACAUCACACAGUAGCAAAACUGGAUCAUAGAUGCCUUUAAAUAUUUGUCAAAUGCUUAGACGGCAGAU
Molecule: small nuclear RNA, 302 nt
Filed under: Sorex araneus (European shrew)
Lineage: Eukaryota; Metazoa; Chordata; Mammalia; Eulipotyphla; Soricidae
Description: 7SK RNA (ENSSARG00000019352.1)
Rfam family: 7SK RNA
About the family: 7SK was discovered as an abundant small nuclear RNA in the mid-70s but a possible function has only recently been suggested. Two independent studies have found that 7SK RNA binds the CDK9/cyclin T complex (known as elongation factor P-TEFb).
Source: RNAcentral